CGGAGGGUGCAAGCGUUGUCCGGAUUUAUUGGGUUUAAAGGGUGCGUAGGCGGCCCGGUAAGUCAGUGGUGAAAGCCUCCAGCUCAACUGGAGAACUGCCAUUGAUACUGCCGGGCUUGAGUACAGACGAGGUUGGCGGAAUUGAUUGUGUAGCGGUGAAAUGCAUAGAUACAAUCAAGAACUCCGGUUGCGUAGGCAGCUAACUAGGCUGUAACUGACGCUGAGGCACGAAAGCGUGGGGAGCGAACAGGAUUAGAUACCCUGGUAGUCCACGCUGUAAACGAUGAUUACUCGAUGUUGGCGAUAAACUGUCAGCGUCUUAGCGAAAGCGUUAAGUAAUCCACCUGGGGAGUACGCCCGCAAGGGUG
RNAcentral lists this ribosomal RNA (368 nucleotides) under uncultured organism. Its description in RNAcentral is "bacterial SSU rRNA". It matches the Rfam family "Bacterial small subunit ribosomal RNA", at positions 526 to 896 of the family's 1533-position model. The record is from RNAcentral.